This 1844-nucleotide long non-coding RNA is filed under the name Salmo salar (Atlantic salmon). Its description in RNAcentral is "lncRNA (ENSSSAG00000102275.1)". Lineage: Eukaryota; Metazoa; Chordata; Actinopteri; Salmoniformes; Salmonidae. The record is from RNAcentral.
ACUCAUUCAACCCUCCUACAGACUUACCUCUACGCUCCUCCCCUCCACUCUACUCAUUCAACCCUCCUACAGACUUACCUCUACGCUCCUCCACUCUACUCUACUCAUUCAACCCUCCUACAGACUUACCUCUACGCUCCUCCAGCUCCACUCUACUCAUUCAACCCUCCUACAGACUUACCUCUACGCUCCUCCACUCUACUCUACUCAUUCAACCCUCCUACAGACUUACCUCUACGCUCCUCCAGCUCCACUCUACUCAUUCAACCCUCCUACAGACUUACCUCUACGCUCCUCCACUCUACUCUACUCAUUCAACCCUCCUACAGACUUAGCUCUACGCUCCUCCACUCUACUCUACUCAUUCAACCCUCCUACAGACUUACCUCUACGCUCCUCCACUCUACUCAUUCAACCCUCCUACAGACUUACCUCUACGCUCCUCCACUCUACUCAUUCAACCCUCCUACAGACUUACCUCUACGCUCCUCCACUCUACUCAUUCAACCCUCCUACAGACUUACCUCUACGCUCCUCCACUCUACUCUACUCAUUCAACCCUCCUACAGACUUACCUCUACGCUCCUCCAGCUCCACUCUACUCAUUCAACCCUCCUACAGACUUACCUCUACGCUCCUCCAGCUCCACUCUACUCAUUCAACCCUCCUACAGACUUAGCUCUACGCUCCUCCACUCUACUCUACUCAUUCAACCCUCCUACAGACUUACCUCUACGCUCCUCCAGCUCCACUCUACUCAUUCAACCCUCCUACAGACUUACCUCAACGCUCCUCCAGCUCCACUUUACACAUUCAACUCUCCUACAGACUUACCUCUACGCUCCUCCACUCUACUCUACUCAUUCAACCCUCCUACAGACUUACCUCUACGCUCCUCCACUCUACUCUACUCAUUCAACCCUCCUACAGACUUAGCUCUACGCUCCUCCACUCUACUCAUUCAACCCUCCUACAGACUUACCUCUACGCUCCUCCACUCUACUCUACUCAUUCAACCCUCCUACAGACUUACCUCUAUGCUCCUCCACUCUACUCUACUCAUUCAACCCUCCUACAGACUUACCUCUACGCUCCUCCAGCUCCACUCUACUCAUUCAACCCUCCUACAGACUUACCUCUACGCUCCUCCACUCUACUCAUUCAACCCUCCUACAGACUUACCUCUACGCUCCUCCACUCUACUCUACUCAUUCAACCCUCCUACAGACUUACCUCUACGCUCCUCCACUCUACUCUACUCAUUCAACCCUCCUACAGACUUACCUCUACGCUCCUCCAGCUCCACUCUACACAUUCAGCCCUCCUACAGAUUUACCUCUACGCUCCUCCAGCUCCACUCUACACCCCCCAUCCUCAACUCACCCCUCCUACAGCCCCACCUUGUCAACCCCCCCCCCUCCACCACCCUCCAACAUCAACACCCUGAUGUCUCUUCUUCUCCCUGAAGUGUGUACCUUCAUCCCACCUUGUGGAUUUAAAAGGAAUGGACUGGUGUGAGGAAAAUCAUAUCAGAUAUUAUUUUGACAUGGUGAAAACUCAAGUCCAUGAUUAAUCCAAUGCUUUUACAUCCAUGAAGGGGACUGAGUGAGCAAGUCAAGUGCACACGGGGGCAUAAGGCCAGUAGGGAAUCAUAACACACACACAGCCUAUACUGAUCUAGUAAGUAAUGGGACGUAAUAGUUUUGUGGUCCCUCUUAACACACCCACAAACUGCUCGAUAGAGAAGUUUCCAAACGCUGUGAAACCUUGUGUGUUCUGAACACACCCCAGUAGUUGUUUCUGUUUUCUGUAGACACUUAAUAAAGGACUGGUGAAGAAGUCUC